Molecule: long non-coding RNA, 613 nt
Filed under: Carica papaya (papaya)
Lineage: Eukaryota; Viridiplantae; Streptophyta; Magnoliopsida; Brassicales; Caricaceae
Description: long non-coding RNA (CPAP_LNC011770)
Source: RNAcentral
AAGGGUAUUGUUGAUUCCGAGGACCUUCCUCUCAACAUCUCAAGAGAAAUGCUUCAGCAGAACAAGAUUUUGAAAGUAAUCCGGAAAAACUUGGUGAAGAAGUGCGUUGAGCUUUUCUUUGAGAUUGCUGAGAACAAGGAGGAUUACAACAAAUUCUAUGAGUCCUUCUCCAAGAAUCUCAAGCUUGGUAUCCAUGAGGACUCCCAGAAUAAGUCAAAGCUUGCAGAAUUGCUCAGAUACCACUCCACCAAGAGUGGUGAUGAGAUGACCAGCUUGAAGGACUAUGUGACCAGAAUGAAGGAGGGACAGAGCGAUAUCUAUUACAUCACUGGUGAGAGCAAGAAGGCUGUGGAGAACUCUCCAUUCCUGGAGAAGCUGAAGAAGAAGGGCUAUGAAGUUCUGUUCAUGGUUGAUGCCAUUGACGAGUAUGCAGUUGGACAAUUGAAGGAAUUUGAGGGUAAGAAGCUAGUAUCAGCAACCAAGGAAGGCUUGAAGCUUGACGAGAGCGAAGAUGAGAAGAAGAAGAAGGAAGCUUUGAAGGAGAAGUUUGAGGGUCUCUGCAAGGUCAUUAAGGAUGUAUUGGGUGACAAGGUAGAGAAAGUUAUAGUCUCUG